GCCGGAGCACCCCCAACUCCAGUUUAGACUUUCCUUCCAGGUCCCGAUGGCGGACGUGACCCUUUGACUCCAGCUUCUCCGGUGUCGGCAGAAUUCUGCACCAACACCACUUUACUUGAUAUCACUUGAAGCAGCCCUGUAUAGGAUCCUGAAGAUUGAUAUUAACCACCAAGAAAAAUCAAGAAAUUUUUUCUUGAUUUUCUUUAUCUCUCUCAAAGGUUCUCUCUCAGAUCUCUAUCUGAU
Molecule: long non-coding RNA, 243 nt
Filed under: Elaeis guineensis (African oil palm)
Lineage: Eukaryota; Viridiplantae; Streptophyta; Magnoliopsida; Arecales; Arecaceae
Description: long non-coding RNA (EGUI_LNC062722)
Source: RNAcentral